Long non-coding RNA from Acipenser ruthenus (sterlet), 775 nucleotides. RefSeq lists it as uncharacterized. NCBI's taxonomy places the organism in Eukaryota, Metazoa, Chordata, Actinopteri, Acipenseriformes, Acipenseridae. The record is from RefSeq and is a predicted model, not a curated record. The transcript has 3 exons.
CUUGUGUGUGGUGUUUGUGCUGUCUUCUGCAAGCCUGCAUGUGUAACCAGGCUAUCCCAAAUACAGAGACAUGACUUCAGAAAUGUGUCUGAUAGCUGGGACAACAGGCUCAGUUCCAGGAUUCCCCACACUGAUCCAGGCAGUCUCCCUCAACCUUGACUUGCAGGGACCAGAUUGUAGAUGGGAGAGUCACUUUCCAUCCUUUGCUGCUUAAUCCAGGAAGUCCUGAUGACUCGGAUCUAAAGGUGACCAGGGUCUGAGGCAGAUAGGGAAAAUAAUUUGCUGUAGACAGAGGUGUAAGCUGUGUGCCAAACAAGAGCGCCGUUUCAACUUCAAGAGACUGCAGCACAUACAACAUGGGCGCCACUAUCAGUGACAGCACAUACCACCUGCUUUAAGUUAAGGGCAUCCAGCACAUUUUGCUCAGAGGAGGCAAUGUUCUCCCCAGUAUGGCACUCCUCAGCAGGAAUGCAGCCAAUGUAUUUUACAGUUAAAUUCCACUCCAGGUCAACAAAGUGGCAUGUCAUGGCAAGAUUUUUGAUACAGGUCCACAGAUCAAAAGUAAUGGCAGCAUGUGAUGUAGACAUUAGUUUUGUUUUAAAGUACCCACAUGCCUGAGUAUGCAUUGCUCAACAGUGUUCCGGACACUGUCUUUCUUGAGGGUGGUUGGUAUCCUGGACAAAGCAGGUUCAGGAUCUUUCUGAAAAGAUUAAAGUUCCAUCAAAACACUUUCUACAAAAAAGAUGGCCUUUUACAAACAAGGCUUUCAAAAGUA